GUUGCCCAUGUGGUGACAACCAAAGAAGUGCGGACGGAAGGUUGCUUUGAGCGUUGGCCACAGUCGUGCGCUCUGCACAGCGCCAUCUACAGACACGGAGGAUUGGCAGUCCAAAGCAGAGCCUUCGGUGUAAAUAAGUGAAUGGGAGACCAGAGAAGGCUGAAUUCCCGAUGGACUGCCCUGCUCAGGAUGUCAAAGAUCUGUUCCGCUCUGCAGCCGAGGCAGGACCCCAUGACAUCCUGAAGCUGUACAACCCCAAAGGCAACAUCAUCAACAUCUCCCCGAGUCUGGAGCCCAACAGCCCAAACUCCUGCUACAAGCUGGAGGUGGUGGCC
Molecule: long non-coding RNA, 335 nt
Organism: Micropterus salmoides (largemouth bass)
Lineage: Eukaryota; Metazoa; Chordata; Actinopteri; Centrarchiformes; Centrarchidae
Exons: 3
Source: RefSeq, a predicted model, not a curated record